UACGUAGGGUGCGAGCGUUGUCCGGAAUUAUUGGGCGUAAAGAGCUCGUAGGCGGUCUGUCGCGUCGAAUGUGAAAACCCGAGGCUCAACCUCGGGCGUGCAUUCCAAACUCCCGGGCUUGAGGCAGGUAGGGGAGAUCGGAAUUCCUGGUGUAGCGGUGAAAUGCGCAGAUAUCAGGAGGAACACCGGUGGCGAAGGCGGAUCUCUGGGCCUGCUCUGACGCUGAGGCGCGAAAGCUAGGGGAGCGAACAGG
This 253-nucleotide ribosomal RNA is filed under the name uncultured bacterium. RNAcentral describes it as "partial 16S ribosomal RNA". It matches the Rfam family "Bacterial small subunit ribosomal RNA", at positions 524 to 776 of the family's 1533-position model. The record is from RNAcentral.